Molecule: long non-coding RNA, 17244 nt
Filed under: Populus trichocarpa (black cottonwood)
Lineage: Eukaryota; Viridiplantae; Streptophyta; Magnoliopsida; Malpighiales; Salicaceae
Description: long non-coding RNA (PTRI_LNC001203)
Rfam family: MIR2912 microRNA precursor family (bases 10687-10843)
Source: RNAcentral
UGAUAUUGAGAUUUGUGACUUGGAAAAGCUUUUCAACAAAUAUAAAGGGUACCCUAGCAAAGGGUAACAUAGAGGAACAACUGUGAAAAGAACCAGGGUAAAGGUUACUGUUAGGGCUAUUGUUGGUGUGUUUUUUCGUAGAGCAUGGUGCUUGCUGCCAAAGGGAAGCUGAUUCAUGGCAUAAACCUUCAUUUUAGUGAGAGAAAAGGAGAAAGAGGGUGGGAGGUAAUGGGAUUGCAAGGGUUUGGAAAGAGACUGGCUUGCUCACCUAUUUAUCAAUAUUGUGGCUACCUAGUUUAAACAAGCUAGUACAGCUAUAAAUGUUCUUGUAAAGCAAUUCAAUAAUAUUUAAGGCAAAUUACUUUUUUAAUCCCUGGAAGGAUCUUAUAACAUGUAUGAUAUGCAUGUUGUCGAGUAAAAUAUUAGCAAUUGAUAACUAAAAUCAAUGCAUCUUUUAGGGAAUUUUAUUUUGUAUAAUUCAAUUUCUAAUGUGUUCUAUAUCCAGAUGAACUCUUUCUUUCUUUAUUAUCAUUAUUAUUAUUAAAUUGAUAAUUACGUUAAAGGGAUGUGCCCCUUCUAAUUAAGCUAGCAAGGGAAAAAAAAUUCUAAAUGAUAAUUAAGUAACUGACAGUGAGCAUUAGGUAAAACACCUUGUGGAUCAAAAUUCAAGCCUGCUACAUUAUGCUGUGGCUAGCCUUGUUGGGAGUGCUUAACUUCCUUAAUUAUCAAAUUAUAAGAUGAUAAUUAUAAGUUCAAAAUGAAGAAAUAAAAGAAAACAAAUCUAUAGUUUGCUGGUGGGUCUUUGUUGUACUCUUUGACUUGUUUUAUUUCUUAAAGAGAUUAAAAUCUUGAAUCCCAAGUUUCAAGUGACCUCUCUAAGGGAAAAUGAUCAGAUGCAGCAUACAUGCGAGAGAGCAAGUGACGGGCAAAUCAAAGAAUUUAUCAAAUUGCUGAGGAGGUUCCUAAUUCCUAAACAUCACCAAAUCCUGACUAAUAAGGGCUUUGUUUAUUUCAAAAAGCAAUGACUAGGUAGGACAGUUGAGACCAAAACUAGAAAAGGGGAGUGGGGGUGGUUCUUUUAAGGAUAACUAAGUUAUAUCUUCCGACCAGUAAAACCUCAAAUUCUUACAAAUAACCAUCCAUGGAACAGUAGCAUUGCCAUUUGGAUCAGGAGAGAUUAAUACUAGGCUGGCAAGGACCAGAUUCAAGUAAUGGACUGUGCGAUUAGGUAAUUUAUGCUACCUUGAGAUGGUUAUUUUGAUCCUUUCGUUUGAUUAAUAAUUGGGUUAGGUAUCAAUCUAAUUAUUAUACAUUUUCAUAGUCAUUCACUUUAGAUUGUGUGAAGUGGGGUUAAGCAAGAAUAAAUUAAGCUUAACAGGUGAGUAUACAACUUUUUCUUUCUUUCUUUUUUCGUACAAAUGAUGAUAUAGAAGGAACAGCUCUAUCAGCUUCAAGAACAGCUCUCAUGCCAGGAGAAGGGGCCAGCCACAUCUGAAACUUGUGAGUUUGAAAAGAGCCAAUAUAGCCGUGUGUUUCAUUUGCUUUGUGUUAAUCGAAUGAGCUUUUCUAUAAAACAAGAAAUGAUAUAUUAAUAUUUUCUUUAUUCAAUUUGAAGGUCCGUAAGACGUAGUUCGUGGUUUGACGGGAUAAACUUAAAUUUUUUAAAUAAAACAACGUUGUUUUAAUAAAAAAAAUUGAUUGAGAAUGAAAUUUAGUCUAAAUCAAUUGAUGGGUCACCAAAUACAUCCUACUAAGUUUUAUAGCUAUUAUUUACAUUAAAAAUGAUCCUAAUUAUACAAAUUUAUUACUAUGAAUGACAAAAGAUAGCAUGUUUAUGAUAAAUAUGUCAUAUUCCAACAAUUUAUUUAUAUCUUCUUAAUCUUGUUGUAUGGUUUUGUUAUAUAAUUAUUUUCAUGUCCCAAAACAUCUACUAUGUUAUUGAAGAAAUUAAGAGUGCAAGAGUUUCACAUUUUUUAUUAAUUCCAAUAGCAUAAAUUAUUAUGUGAGAUCUCAAGAUAUGAUUUAUAUUAUUCUCUAACACAUCCCUUCAAGUAAAAGUUUUUUUGGGCUUGAAACUUGCACAGACUUAUAUUACCUUGUGCUUAAUGUUUUUCAAAUAAAUAUGAAUGAUGAGAUUUGAACUCGUGAUCACUUGGUUAUCAAAGCUCUAUACCAUGAAGAAAUUAAAAGUGAAAGAGUUUCAUGUUUUUUAUUAAUCUCAGGCAGACACAUAUAUACAUAGACACAUUUAGUCAGCUAUUGUUUCAAUCAUUCUCGGAUAGUUAGCCUAACAACGAUGAGAUAUAUAUAUAUAAGAUCUUUGAUUUAUGGUUAUACACGGAAUUAGUCUUAACUGUCACCACACUUUCAGGGAACAAUUGAUGAUAAAUGUACAAGCACAAGACAUAUGAUAUUUCUAAUAAUUACGUAAUUUAAAGACUAUUUGGCAUUGUGGUUGUUUAAAUAACAUACUUUUUAUUUUUAUUUUUGGAGAUCUACUUUUGAUUUAUUUUGUAUAUAAAAAUCUAUUUUACUACCAUUUUAACAAAACAUAUAUUUUUUAAGACUUAUUUUUUAAAACCGAAACAUAAAAGCUAUAUCAAUACCAAAAACAUAUUUAAUUAUAUUAGGGUAGGCAUUUGGAAAAUGGUCUUUCAAUACCUUCUAAAACAAUUUACCCUUUCUAAAAUUGUUUUUUUUUUUUUUUUUAUCUUUUCGAAUAGAUAUGUUGGGAUUUGGGAGUUAUGGAUAUUAUGCAAAAAGGAUUUUAGACCGUGAAUUAUAUAAAUAGAUAAUUAAACUAUGAUUAGAUUCGAUCACCUACCGGCACACUCAAUGUUUUUUAUUUAAUAAUUAAAAAAAAAUAAAACAAAGACACCUUAGAAAGGAUUUUAGACCGUGUCUUCUUUUUUUUGUUCUUUCUUAAACUCUUGUUUUUUUGUGAGUUUUAAAGUAGUAAGGAUAUAUGGAUAUGAUUCAAAGUCGAGUCCAUCCUUCUCCAUUCUUUUUGCAUAGAAACCAAGCAAAUACAAUAAUAAAAAAAAAUGUAGAAAAAUAGGCGUCAGUGGAGGCGGAUUUUGUACACAAAUACACACACUCGCGUAUUUGCCUUGCAGCAUAAUAUACACAAAAUCUGUCUCUAUACAAAUCAUGUCACUAGUUGGUAUUACAUGCCAAUCAUACUUAAUGAUUUUGACCUAAUAUUAAUUCAACAAAUGUAGUUGGGUUUUCGUUUUCAUAAUCACUGUGACGUUCGUCGGCCGAUUUUCUAGCCAGGCCAAUAUUGUCCAGCUCCAUCUGUUAGCUAGGCUGUCGCCUUAAAAACAAGGAAAUGAAGUGAAAUUUCGAAUCUUACAUAAAUUCAUCAUAUCUUGAUAUUUCUCCAGCUUUUUCUCUCAUGGGCUAUGAUUUACGUGGUCACGACUGCUGUUCAUCUUGAUUCUCUCUGGCUGUGGAUGCUUGUUCUUAUUCCUAAUAAUAGAGUUCUUUUGGCCCUCCUCUUCCAGUCGAUGCUCCUUGGCACCUCUGCUGUCUAGCAUGGGGGAUAUGGUUUUUAUUAUUUUGUAGUUAUUUGAUUUCUUAUAUCAUUUUUGUAUAACCCAACAAAAAGUCCUCAUUGCACAUCAUGCAAGAUUAAUAUACUGUUUGGAAACGCGAUUAACCGUAUUUUUUAAAAUAAUUCAACAAAAUUAUUUAAAUAUAUUGAUAUCAAAAAUAUUUUUAAAAUAUUUUUUGAUACAUUUAUAAAUAAAAAAUAUUUACUAUAAUCACUACCCUAUUUUCAAAUAUCCCCUAGUCACCUAAAGUCAAGAAAACAUAUAUUUUUGUUAGCAUUGCAUAGUGGGCUCUAAGGGCUAGAUUACCGAAAUUAGGUCCAACGAUAAUGAUGAUCCAAAUCCAAAGAAUUUGGGUUAAAUAGGAAGCCUAAAAUGUGAGAUAAUUGUAGGGCCUCGGUCGUUUCCUCCUAUUUCUGCCAUUCCAAGAACCACAACAAAACAAUACAAGCUUCAGCUCAUGGCAUCUUUCUCGGACCCAGUCUAGCUAGGAAUUAUCUGAAAAAGGACCGGGUAAUUAUGUCAGUUCACAGAUCAUCAUAUCAAUUCAAAUUAAUUUUUUUUUUUUAGGUUUGGCUGCAUAACUAGAUCAUUAGAAACCAUGAGGUCAACUGAAUCUUAUCUAGUUAAUAUGCUUUUCUAUUUAACUUGAAAUCCAGUUGAAACAGUUUCCUGAUGGAUCGAGUUUAACAAUUAUAAUUAUGUAAAGUUGAUGCUGAAAAAAAUCCUUUGGCGUGGAAUUCAAAAGGAAUCCCUUGAGUUGUCCGGGUCGUUUUGCGAUGUUCACUUCAACAAAGAUUUGCAAUAAUUUAUGUUGUCAUAUUAGCCUGCCUUUACGUGUGGAUAGGCCAUCCCGUGAUGUCUUUAUUGACAAGAACAUGAAGGUAAGCAUUGCAUGGAAUCCUGCGGAAAAAAGCUAAAUCAUUUCCAUCACUUUAGAUUAAAGUAUUGGCAAAUUGCAGCAAUGAUCUUCACCAAAAUCCCCAUUAAGUAGACGUUUUUGGUCACUCCUAUGUCUAGUCUCUGUUCUAGGAAACAGUGGCCUUCUGAUAGCUUUUCUUUCAGAAAAGAAGCCUGUGCAUGGAUGUAUUCCACCUUUAGCCCCUGCGUAUGGAAUGCCCCAAGGAAACACGCAUCACUGCAAGGUAAAAUCAUGGUGGAAGAUAGGGUUCGUACUGUGUAGUUAGUUAGCAAGUCAUCAGCUACUUUGUUAUGGUCUUGUUUCUGUCAGAAAACGAACUGGAGAAAAUAAAUAAAACGAGGCAUCAGGGAAUUCCUGAAGACAAUCCAGAGUCAGAGCCUGCGAUUACCAAGGCAAGAUUCUAGCGACAUCUGGAAAUGCCAUAACAUCAACUUUACUUCUGAAAACUUUCUUCAAGCUCGCAGUUCCCUGUAAUCCCUUAGCCCUAAUGUUGACAAACUUGUAACGUGCAACUGAAGUAAUUUCAAUAACAGUGACCAUAGCCUCUGUGGCUGAUGAUACCAAAAAGAAGCUCCUGGCCAAAACUUGAGUCCAGAGAGCUAAACACGGAUCUAUAAUCUUUAAACUCGAGCAAGAGUACUGAAACAUAAGAAAAAAAUCCCAAAACAUGAUAGAACAAAAGGUAAAGCAACUAAACUUGAUCAGAGCAAAUUAUCGAGCAAAAACAAGUAUUAAAAUAUGGUACGGUCCCUUUUCUUGUUGGCAAGAUGAAUCUAACUAUCGAUAUUUCUUGUAAAUGUCCUUUUCAAAUAAUAAAAAAUAAAUCAUAAUCCGAAAUUUAAAAGAAAUUCUUGUAAAUAUUUCAAAUAAUCAUAAAUAAAUCUAGAUUUUUUAAAAAAACUAAAAUUGCGAGAAUUAUUUAACAUUUAGAACUUUUUAAUUAAAGAAACGUAAUUUAGGAAUACAUUCUUAAAUAAUUAUUGAUAGAUCAUCACAUGUAAUAUACAGGUUUUCAUUAAAAUCAAGAAAAUUAAGAAUAAUUCAAGCUUUCAUAAUAAUGGGACAAUGACAUACAAUAUGGUGGCAUCCGACAUAGAGGUCUCGUAUAUAUUAGAGAACGUUAACAUAAGUUUUAAUUUCCUCCAACAACUCUACAAUAGGAAAAUUAGGGAGCCGAAGAAAGGCAACGGUACAAGGGAAGGAACCUUGUGAUAAGCCAGAGAAAGGCAGUGUUGUUCUUCUCAAACACCUCCACUUCUUUCCCACACCUCUCCUGAUCCAAUCCCUCUAAUCACCUACUCUUAAUUCUUACUGUAGAACCAUAUAUUCACUCUCAUAAUUUCUUCAACUUUGUGUUAGUCCCAUUUUGUAAUGAUUCUAUAUUAUUGUUUCUUAAGAUGAGAAUUAAAAAACAAGAAUUGGUGAAAUAUCUUUAUUGAAACUGAAACAAUUAAAAUAGAAAGUACUGAGUUUAAAGAACAGGAUUAAAAAGAACAAAUUGAGAUAAUAAACCCUAAAUUAAAUUUUCUAGGCAAAUUCGAGGUAAUCCGACCUCCUUGAGUGAAUGUGAUUUGCUUUAAAGUAAUUUUUUGACUCUCUGCUAAUCCUCCCCUCCUAUUUAUUAACUAAAUCUUAGGAUUAGGAUUUGAAUUUGAAUUCAAGAAGAAAAUUGUCUAGCAAGAAUCCUGGACUGAUUUGUAUGUUGACCACUUCUCCUAUAUAAACGGUGUUGUUGCCUAUAACUGAUGCUUCGUUGUUUGAGGGAAAUAAAAUAUCAUUGCCACAUGUCAACCAGUGAUAAAAGAGUCUCUUCCAGCAUUCCACGUAAGUCUCUAGUUCUAUUUAUGCAUCCAGAGACCAUACACGUGCUAAUCUCUUUUAUUUCUUGCAUGUUCUCUUGUCUCUCCACCACUAUGUCUUCUUCAUUUUCAGAGCAGACUCUUCAUUGUACCUCUUUUGGCAAAACAAAAGAAAUUGACCAUAACUAUCAGGGAACCUGUUGGACCACUACAACUCCCCUCCCCUUAAAAACCUUGCCUUAAGGUGAGGGUAAGCACUUUUUAGCUAGGAUUCCUUAACCUAUACUGCAUCUUCUCUAGGUUGUCCCUCUCACGUUAACAACACCUCUUCUCUUUCCUUCUUCCUUGAGAUUUGGCUUCUUUUGUCAAGGAUCUUCACAUGUUCAGGUUGAAUCUUUUGCUUGGAAUAAAAAAUAGGUAGCCUUGGUUCAGGAGUGGUACCCUUCCUAACCCAUUUCUUUAGCAGUGAGACAUGGAACAUACUGUGAAUACGAGCUUCUUCUGGAAUAUAUAACCGGUAAGCCACCUUUCCUACUUUUUUCAAGAUUUUAAAUGGCCCAAAAUAUUUAUAUGUUAAUUUUUUAUUCUUGCUUCUUGGCAUGUUGGAUUGUCUAAAUGAUUGAAGUCAGAGGUAAACUUAUCACCCUUUUUAAAUUGGUAUUAUAGCAGUACUCAGACAUGGUCAACCAGUUUGACCAAGUCUUGGGAUUAUCCCCCACACAACACCUCAAAUAUCCUUCCAAUGUUUUAUUGGUUGCCUCUAACUGACCAUUGAUUUGUGGGCGGUACGUCGUAGACAUCAAUAGCUUAACUCCUUGGACUUGGAACAACUCUCCCAAGAAUUUACUAGUGAAAGUAGGAUCCUUGUCAAAUAUUAUACUGUCUAGGAAUCCAUGAAGCUUCAUUAUAUGUUGUGAAAACAAAUUGGCUAUUUUCGUAGCAUUGUAAGGAUGAGACACUGGAAUAAAGUGAGCAUAUUUAGUAAACCUAUCCGUAACCACCAAGAUUAUUGAAUACUGGUUAGAUUUCAGUAAACCUUCUAUGAAAUCCAUGGAUGUGAAUGACCAUGAUAUUUUAUUUCCCUCAAACAACGAAGCAUCAGGUAUAGGUAACGACACCGUUUAUAUAGGAGAAGUGGUCAACAUACAAAUCAAUCUUGGAUUCUCGCCAGACAGUUUCCUUCUUGAAUUCAAAUUCUAAGAUUUAGUUAAUAAAUAGGAUGGGAGGAUUAGCAAAGAGGCAAGAAAUUGUUCAAAGCAAAUCACAUCCACCCAAAGAGGCUCAAACUACCUCGAAUCUACCCAAAAAAUUUAGUUUAGGGUUUAUUAUCUUAAUUUUUUUCUUUCUAAUUAUGUUCUUUCAAACUCAGUACUUUGUAUUUUAAUUAUUUCAGUUUCAAUUCAAAUUCAAUAAACACUGCCACAAUUCUUAUAUUUACCGAUGGAAUUUUUCGUCGAUAUUUGUAUUAUCAUUUCGUUGGUAAUUAAUUUACCGACGGGAUCACAGAUGAAAAUGCUUCAUUGGUGAAUCAUUUGUCGGUAAUGUUUUGUCUGUCGGUAAUAAAAAAAAUAUUAUUAUCGAUGGAUUUUCUAAUGGGAAAAGCGCGCUAAAAAAAUUACUCGUUUCAUUUCGUUGGUAUUUCCCUCAAGAAGCUUGUCAUAUAACUGACAAAAAUACCGUAUGCAAUUUCAUCAGUGAUUAUUUAAAAAUAUUUUAACAAAAAUCUAUUUAACAAAACUAGAAAAAUAAUUAAAUAAUUAAAAUCUAUUUAAAAAUCCUAUAAAUAAAUCAACUAAAAAUUGAUAUCACAUGAAAAAAAAAUCCUACAACAACAUUCAUACAAUUAUUAAGAACAAAAAAUUUUAAAAAUAAAAUAACAAAUAUCAUGAAAAAACACAAAAAAAAAAGAAAAAUCUUACCUUAAUGUAGUUGCGAGUAAAGCUGAGAAGAGGAAAAAAAAACAAACUCAUAAAGUAUGUUAAUUAAAAAAAUCGAGAAAAGAAAAGAAGAAAAGAGAAAAAGACAUACCUGAGCGUGGAGGAGAAGAGCAGGAGUUGAGGAGAGAAGAGAAGAGAAAGAAAAAGAUGUUGAUGUUUUUACAUAAGAAGAAGAAGAAGAGGCACGUCUAUUGUGAAAUGAGAGAUUCUAGUCUUUUUAUUAGGGCAUUUUACCAACAGUUUUACCAACGGAUAAUUAAAUAUUAAUAUUUUUAAUUAUCCCGUCGGUGAUUCCAUCUGUAAUAUUUAAUUUAAAUUUUCAAUUUAAUCAAAAAAUUUCAGAAACCGUCAAAUAUCACCGAUGACUUUUCAAUUCAUCGGUGAUUUCUUCUGUAAUAUUUAAUUUAAAUAUUCAAUUUAAUAAAAAAAAUUCAAAAACCCACCAAAUAACACCGAUGACUUUUCAAUUCAUCAGUGAUUUUGUCUGUAAAGAAUAGUAAUUAACAGUGCAAUUGAGAGAUGAAUAGUUCCAGAGUUCUCUGGAAAAUACCAAUGAAAAAUUUUGUCAGUAAUUUCGUUGGUAAUUGACAUGAUGAAUAGUGUCAGGGAGAUGUGAACAAUUUACCAACGCAUUUACCGAUGGAUUUUACCGACGAUAUUCGAACUGUCAGUAAUUCCAUUGUUAUAAAUGAUACGUCAUCGUAUUUGUUGGCUUUGUUUUAAUUCUUUUUUUCCACUGUAAUUCCCUCGAUAUAUACCGAAGGAAUAUUUAUGUCAGUAAAAUUCACUGCAAUUUAUUGACAAAAACAUUCCAUCAAUAUUUAUGCUUGUAUUUAGCAAUUUUCUGGUAGUGAAAGAUAUCUCACCAUUUCUUGUUUUUUAAUUCUCAUCUUAAGAAACAAUAAUCUAGAAUCAUUACAAGUUGUAUCAGAGCCACGUUCCUUGGACAAAAAUGGCUGAAGGCACUAGAGUUUCAUAAUUGAUAGAGACAGUAACAAGGAUGAAACAGCAGCAAGAGACGCAACAACAGAACCAGCAAAGUCAACAACAAUUAUAAGAGGAUAUAGUUCAGCAAUUAAGAAGUAUGUCUGCUAGAAUGGAUCAGAUGUCUAAAGCCCAAGGAAAAAGGCCCAUUGGCUUCCCACCAAAUUCUCCUACAAGGUCUGUUAAUGGGAAUCAAAGGCAUGAAGUAAUUCCACAUGAAGGAACCCAACAAGUUUAGCUCAAAUCAAUCCAAUUAGAAUUUCCCCGAUUUAAUGGGGAUGAUCUUAUUGGUUGGGUAUACGAAACAAAUCAAUUCUUCAACUUUCACAACACCCCACCCCAACAAAGGCUAUUUAUAGCUAGUUUCCACAUGGAAGAAAAAGCUAUAACGUGGUAUCAAGAACUUGAGGAAACAAGAAUUCUCAUAAGUUAGGUGACACGACCAAAAGAUUGAUGUCUUCUCCCAAGUGCAGGAGUGUCGAAGUAAUAAAUAACCCGGCAAGACCGGGGUCGAACCACAGGGAGGUUAAUUGUAUAAAUUAUAGAUAACAAUAAUACAACAACAACAAUAACAACAAUAAUAAUAAUAGUGAAGAGGAAGAGGAAGAAGUUGAUGAGAACUUUGAGAUGGAAGAUUAACGUAAGGAUUAAACAAUGAUAACAACAAAUGUCAAGGUUAGAGGAUCCACUAAUGGUAUUUCAAACAAGUAUAGUAUAAACUCUUUUUAUUCAAUUGGAAACCACACACAAAGGAGGUUCCAAUCAGAUUAUAAAUUGUUAACAUGAUUACAUUAGUUAUCUUAUUCGAAUAAUGCUAAUACUUGUAAAUGUUGUCAGGCAUUCAUGAUUAUAACUUAUGUUAACAACAAAUCAAGUUCCUUUCAUAGCUCAGAUGUCGGUUAUACCAUACAGUAUGGGCUAUGAAAGUGCCAAGUAUUUGUUGUACCAAGUAUUAUACAACAUAAAUCUAGAUUAACCAUUUAACAAGCAAAGUAUUAAAAGUGAACAAGAUAACAAAUAUAAAGCAUGUUAGUAUCCAACAUUAAGGUCCAUGUUAAGUUUAUAUUAUACUUAUUCUUACACCAUUAGUGUACCCUUUUCACCUUGACAUAAUUAACUUAGCAACACAUAAUGAAAGAAAGAAACAUAAAGAAACAAGGAAAGGAAAUGAAAAGCAUAAGCAAGAAAUUAAUAUAAGCAAAACUUAAGCAUUACAAAAUAUAAAGAGAGAACAAGAGCAUGAUCUUGAUCUGAACACCAAGAUGCCUAAAUACAUGGCAAAUGCCUCCUUUUAUAGGCCAAAAUUCAGAACUAUUGAUUUGUUGACUAAUUGAUGAAUGGGUGGCCACAUCUUGACUUGGUGACAAUUCUUAUCUUCUUGUCUGCCAAAAAAGUCAUUGAUAACGUCAUAAUUUGAACAGACUUCAAUCAUGAAAGUUCUAGGGAAUUGUCUCAUCUUUCCAGGGUAAAAAAUUGAGAUCAUUUGGACUUCUAGAACUCGAGAUAUGGGCUGAACACUGAACAGUAUCUGGGAUGCAGGACAGAUUCGGACUUCUUCAUUGUUGCUACAAUUUGGACUUGCAAAAAGGCCUUGUUAAAUCUUGGACUCCUCAUGAAAGUUGUAGGCCUAUGUCUUAGCUUUCCAUCCAUAUAAGGCAGACCUAAAUCCGAGAUCUACAACUCCAGAUAUGACCCGAUUACCGAACAGUAUUCCAGUUUGGACUGCACCAACAUCUCUUUUCUAAGUUUGGCCAUUUUUCUGUCCUUUCAAUUUCAGUACUUCAACUCAUCAAUCAAUUCUUUCAUUUAUGUGAUAGGCCUGUAUUUAAAAUGAACAUUUACCAUAAAUUAAAGGUAUCUUAUAUUAUUAGAUAUGUUAGUAUAAAACAUGCUUUAGUUAAGGAGUUAUUGAUACUUCAAGUGCAAAAUGAUGAUAUAGAACCUUGAUAAAAAUGCACUUUUAAGUACUAAUCAUUAGGAAGCUUUUGUAAAAACCCUCCAAAUUCAUUUUUGGACAUCAUCCUAUGAUGACCUAAUGGAGGCCCUCAUAAGUAUUAAGCAAACUUCAACAAUAGAGCUCUACAAAACCCAAUUCAAGAUUCUUUCGAAUCGGGUCAGGGGGUUAUCUGACUCUCACUGGCUCAAUUGUUUUCUAGAAGGGUUGAAUGAAAAGAUCAAGAUCGAAGUAAGGAUGUUAAGCCCCUAAAACUUAGUGGCUGUUUAUGGAUUGGCCAGAAUAUAGAAGGAAAACUUGAUUGUUAUGAGAAGGACAUGGAAACCUAGUUUUACUGAAUUUCAAGGCUGAAAUAUAAUACCAGCCCAGCCCAAAGCUGAAAACAAAUCAGUUAUAUAUCUUCUUUACAAAAGCUCACUCCAACACAAAUGAAGGGAAAAAAAUGGACCAUAACUACCAGAAACCCUACUGGACCAUUACACAUUUGUUAUAAAACCAUGCCCUUUUUUCCUUGCUUGUUUACAAGUUAUAUAUCUUCUUUUAAGUUAUAGUUCCUUAAGGUAUUGUUCCUUCUCUUCCCUUCUUCUCUUUCUCUUAAAAUUUUUGUGUUUGUUUGAAAGUUGUUGAAAUUAUUAAUUCUUCAUAUCCUAGCCAUGGUGAUGAUGGGACUGGAGAGCUCUUCACCAUCACCUAAUGAGAAAAUAAGAGCACCAGAGUACAUCUGCAGAGAUUUAAUGAGAAAAUGCUCAACGUGGAGAAUUUGCUCGAAAUCAAUUGCCACUAAGGUUAUGAUCAAUGGGGUUUUAUAAUUACUCAUUAUGGAAACACUUAUAUGCACUCACUACCAAGACUCUACUUAAUGUAAAACAUACAAUGAAAAAUUAUAUUAGGGUGGAAGAAGUCAACAUGACAAGACAAGGUCACCCAUAUUUACAUCGAGUAUAACUUCUCAACAUCACCAAUCUCCAACCAAAGCAUCUAAAAGGAGCAUUAAAGGACAUAUUUUUUGUUGCAUGAUAUUUUUUGAGCUCCUAACCACCACAUAAACUAAAAUUCUAGUUAUUAUCAGAGGAAAAUAAUAUGUUUAAUAUCUUGCUCCUAUGAAAAGUGGCACAAACAUGAAGAGCCAUUAUAAGUUUUGUCUUUUUCAGUGUAACCAUGGACACGAUACUAAAGAAUGUCACGUCAAAAGAAAAUAGAAAGUUUGAUUUCCAAAAGUAAUCUUCACUGGUUCGUGAAAAGAGAAACAAAACCUGAGCAAGAAAGGAAGGAAGGAAGUCUACACACUUGAUGACCUACCUAAGAUUUAAUAAUCCCCAAAUUAGCUUCAUAAAUUGUAUCUCCAUCUUUUGAAUUUUUUAAUAAAAGCAACAAAUUUUCUCUAUAUCUCCAACAAAAAAUCUCCAUUAAAAUCUCUGAGCUUGACUCUAGGUCCUCGUGACCACUUUUCUCUAAAUCCUCAUGACCACAAUACUCCAAGUUCUCGAAACCACUUGUGUCCCAAAGGAUCAAGGAUUUUUCUUCAGUCUUUGUGACUACUCAUGGAAUAUUUCCAUUUAAAAAUCAUUCUUGAAACACAUACACACAUCAUAUUACUUUCACGCUUGUUUUCUUUUUUACUAUUAAAUCGCUCCCUUUAAAAGUAAGACAAUUAAACUCUUCUUUAUUUAUUGUAGAAACAUUGACAAAAGACCAUCUAUAUGUAUGACAAAAUGGAAGAAAUUCAAUCACCUAACCAUGGUAACAUUAUCGUAUCAAUAACAUGUAACAUCACUUGUAAAAAACAAGUAAGUAUUUUCUCUAUUUUUUGUUGCCUAAAGUCUUCCAAACAUGUAUGUUUGAAAGACCUAGGGGAAAAAUGAUAGAGCAUGAUUUAAUAAUUAUAAUUAUAAUAAUAAACUUUAUUUUUUUCUAAAAAAAUAAGCAGCUUAUUUGUUUCAUGGCCAAAAUGGGCUACUGCAUGCAAUCACCAUGUUUAAGUUGAAGCCCAAAUAGAUUGCACCCCAAUUUUUUUCUUCUUUUUCUUCCACAUGCUCUAAUGUACUUUUUGAGUUUUGAGAAGACAGAAUGCGGCACCACACACUGCCCAUGCACACAAUAUUUUUCAUGAUUAAUUGACAUAUAUUUUUUUUAUAGAUGCUUAGUAAGUACAAACUUUUAUGCAGACACCAUAUUUUUUUAGCUAAUAAUUGACAAUGCAAACACAUACCAUUUUCUACUCAACAUUUCUCUAACAUUGCAAGACUUUGUCUUACAUUGCAAGAUUUAAUUUUUUUUUCUUAUAUUAUUUCUUUCCUAUUUACAAAUUUAAGUAUCAGAGAGUCUCAUUCCAUAAGAGACUUAUUUUGUUUAGGAAUUCUUAAUUCCAAACUCGAAACCCAACUCACACGUCUUGGCUCAUAGAUUAUAGAAAGCUCAAUUUAUGUGUGGGGUUUUCUCUGGACUCCAUUAUUUAUGAUAAAAUUGAUAAGAGUGAGAACAUAAGAGUCGAGAUAAGAAGCAGAAAGGCCAAGAAACUCAUUGAAGAGACCUUAAAGAUUGCAGAUUCACCAAGGACCAAAACUUAUAGUUUUUCAGUGCUUUUAUUGGUCGUCAUCAUCAUCUCAAAUGUAUAGUUAUGCUACAAGUAAUUAAAGGCACGUACAUAGUGUAAAUCAUGUUUUGAUGUUUAACUUUGGUGUUAAUUAAUUUGGUUCUACAAGUAAUUUAUAGACUAAAUUUUCGAACGGUCAAAUUUGAAACCUCUCGACUAUACUUCUUAUUUAGGUCAAAUUUGAAACAUCUCGACUAUACUUCUUAUCUAACUUUACCUUUAAAUUAAACUAUAUAAAAAUUGUUUCAGUGUAACCCAAAUGACUUAGUGGGUUGAAAAAAAUUUGAAUUACUAAAAACAUGGUUUGGCUUUAAAAAUAUUUUCAAGAUGACAUCUUUUUUAAAAAAAAUAUUGAGAUGAAGAUACAUUAGAUCAACCCCGGUCAACUUAGGUUAACCCACUAAACUCUCGAUCUAAAUCAUAAACUUCAUUGAGUUUAAUAACUUUGUAUUUUUUUUUCUUAACUAUUUUUAUUUAUAAUAUGAUGAAAAAAAAUAGACGCUUAUAAAACCGAAUACCAACUCAAUACUGGGAUGUUUUUAUAAGAUUACGAUAACCCCAUGAAAAGUAAAUUGAAAUAAAUCAUGAGGUCUAAUUGUCAAUAAUUAUGUUUUUUCUAAAAUUAUUUUUUAUUUAAUAAUAUGAUGAAAAAAGUAGAUGCUCAAAAAACUAAGUACCAACCGAAUAUCAAUAUAUUUUUCUAAGAUCGUGAUAACCCCAUAGAAAGUAAAUCAAAAUAAAUCUUGAAGUCCAAUUCAUAAUACUUACACUUUUUUAACCAUUUUUUUCAUUAUAUUAGACUAUUUUUUUCAAUAUAUUAUACCAUUUUUUAUUUAAUAAUCAUAAAACUGAGUAUCAACCAAAUAUUAGAAUGUUUUUUCUGAAACCAUGAUAACCACGUAUAAAAAAAUAUGUAAAUAAUAAAAUAUAUAAAAGAAAUAAAAAGGCAAAAGCAAAAGCAAAAAGAAAAAGAAAAAAAACAUGUUAUUGUUCCAAUGAACAGUAACAUAUGAGGAGAGGACAAUAAUUUCCCCUCCUCAAUUAAUCAUUUUUUAAAACUAUUUUUUUUAACAAUAUGUUUGAUCAUUUUUAAUUUAAUAAUAUAGUAGAAAACGUAAAUAAUCAUAAAACUGAGCAUCAACCACAUAUCAUGAUGUUUUUCUGAAACCAUGAUAACCCCGUAUAAAAAAAUAAAAUAAAGAGCAAAGUUCAAUUCUCAAUAAAUCCAAUAGAAAAAGAUAAAAAAAGAAAAAAAAAGAAAAAAAAAGAAAAAAGAAAAAAAAAGAAAAAAAAAAGCAUGUUACUGUUCUAAUGAAUAGUAACAUGUGAGGAGGGGAACAAUAAUUUCCCCUCCUCAAUUAAUUUCUUUUUUUUAAUUAUUUUUUAUUUAACAAUAUGUUAGACCAUUUUUUAUUUAAUAAUCUGAUUAAAAAAUAAACGGUUAUAAAUCUGAGCACAAUCAAAUAUCAAGAUAUAUAACCUCGUAUAAAGAAAAUCAAAAUAAAUAGUAAAAUUCAAAUCUCAAUAAAUUCAAUAUAAAAAUAUGAAAAUAUAAAAAAGAAAAAAAAAACAUGUUAAUGAAUAGUAAGGAGGGAAACAAUAAUUUCCCCUCCUCAAUUAAUUUUUUUUUUUUAACCAUGAAGUUAAUGGCAUGCCUCCAUUAGCAAACACCCUGUGGAGGUCAAACCGAAUGAUUUUACCUUUUUCCUCUUUAGAACUUGAAAUUUCAUUGUCUUGGCUUUGUACAUUAAUGAUUUGGCCGUCCCUUCCGCCGUGCUAAUGCCUAAUUUUUAGUACGAAAAUACACACCCCAUUAAGGCUGUAUUUUUAUUUAUUUAUUUUUUGUUUAAAAGGUAUUUUUUAUAUUUUUAUUUUUUAUAUUUUUUCUUUAAAUUAUUUUUUAAUCAUUUUAAAUCAUUUCAAUUUUCUGAUAUUAAAAAUAAAUUUUAAAAAAUAAAAUAAAAAAUAUUAUUUUAAUACAUUUUCAAACAAAAAAAUACUUUAAAAAACAAUCUCUAUCACACCUCCAAACAUCAUUUUAAUUAAAUGUCAUUGGCAAUAUAAAUUUCAUAUUAUUUCCGUACAAAUCUUAAGUACCAAUUUGUAUAUGAUAAGCAUGAGUCCCAUAAAUUUUAAACGAUAGGCUUCCCAUGAAAGAAGUAAUUGCCAAAUAUAAGAAUUUGAAUAGAUAUUCAUUUAGUUCCUUUAUUUUUAGCAAAUUAAUUAGCUACUCCUUCUCAUUUAAGUAUUCCACUAUUGCAUUUCAAUUAUUUUUUUUAAUUUCUGUUUAAUAACUUAUUUCUUUCAGUAAAUGUUUGUUAACAGCAUGGUGAGCUGCAAGCAAUUUAAUUAUUAUUUCUUCAAAAUACCCUUUAAUUUGACUAUAUAUUUAACUGAAAGAGAAGAAGCCUGGAGCUAGUUUGAUCAUUUCCUAAAAAAACUAAUUAACAGGGCUUUAAAAGAUGUAUCUGGUAUAAGGAAUCAAAGAGUUAAGUCUGAGAUUAGAGGACCUAAGUUAUCAAUCACUGAAAAUAUAGGGACUAAAUUUAAACGUAUAGAAAUUUGGCUAUUUAAGUAUUUGGUGUUGUGUCUCUGACAGUUACAGUUACAUGCAUCUCUCUCACUUUUUCGUCUCCUUCACUCCCACUAAUUAGCCCCUCUUCUAAGUGCCGCCACCAUUCACUCCUUGACUUUAGUCCUUCCCUCGCAAUAGAAUUUCCUGCUAAUUUCUUGAUUUUCCUACCUAAUUAACUUGCCUACAAGUUAUAUAUAUAUAUCUUCUUGCUAGUAAUUCCUCAAGGUAGUCAGUCUCCUUGCAUUUUUGUGCUUAUUGAUCCUUUUCGUUCUUUAGUAACAGGAAGUUUUAAGUAGCUAGCUAGCUAGCACGGUGGCCAUGGUGAUGAUGGGACUAAGGAGGCUGGUGAUGAUCUUGAAUUCCAAGAUAAGGUUCUUGAAGAUGAAGAAGGGUUAUGAUAAGAUUGAGAAGAGUGAGAGCAUGAGAGUUGAGGUGAGAAGCAGGAAGGCCAGGAAGCUCAUUGAAGAGACAUUAAAAAUUGCUGAUUCGCCAUACACCAAGACUUAUGCUUUUUGAUGAUCACUACUGUUCUUGAGCAUCUCUUCUCAUGUGUUGAAUUGCUACAAUGUAUGUGUGUGUGUAUCAUGGUUUUGUUUCUUAAUUGUUAAUUAAGCAUGUUUUUAUUGAAAAUAUUUAAUUAGUUGUCACAUAAUUACCUCCUUUUGUCCUCUUUAUUUCCAUGGCUAAGCUGCUAGGUCAUGGAUACAAUACCAUAACUCCAUUCCCUUAAUCUUCCUAAUGUCGAGCAUGCUUGCGAUUUACAUCAUUUUUUACCUUAUCGAAUAAUGAAGUUAUGGCUUAAUCAAUUAAAAUUGUUGAUAAUGAUUGUGGUGUUACUUUUUCCUAGCAACUUUGAAAUUGCAUUUACUCUUGUAACAAUACAUUAUGAUAUACAUGUGUAUAGUUAUUCAAUUUAAAGAUUAACC